Molecule: ribosomal RNA, 695 nt
Filed under: uncultured Lactobacillus sp.
Lineage: Bacteria; Bacillati; Bacillota; Bacilli; Lactobacillales; Lactobacillaceae
Description: bacterial SSU rRNA
Rfam family: Bacterial small subunit ribosomal RNA
Source: RNAcentral
GUCGCAUGCACCGGCCGCCAUGGCGCCGGGAAUUCGAUUGUUUGAUCCUGGCUCAGGACGAACGCUGGCGGCGUGCCUAAUACAUGCAAGUCGAGCGAGCGGAACUAACAGAUUUACUUCGGUAAUGACGUUAGGAAAGCGAGCGGCGGAUGGGUGAGUAACACGUGGGGAACCUGCCCCAUAGUCUGGGAUACCACUUGGAAACAGGUGCUAAUACCGGAUAAGAAAGCAGAUCGCAUGAUCAGCUUUUAAGAGGCGGCGUAAGUGUCGCUAUGGGAUGGCCCCGCGGUGCAUUAGCUAGUUGGUAAGGUAAAGGCUUACCAAGGCGAUGAUGCAUAGCCGAGUUGAGAGACUGAUCGGCCACAUUGGGACUGAGACACGGCCCAAACUCCUACGGGAGGCAGCAGUAGGGAAUCUUCCACMAUGGACGCAAGUCUGAUGGAGCAACGCCGCGUGAGUGAAGAAGGUUUUCGGAUCGUAAAGCUCUGUUGUUGGUGAAGAAGGAUAGAGGUAGUAACUGGCCUUUAUUUGACGGUAAUCAACCAGAAAGUCACGGCUAACUACGUGCCAGCAGCCGCGGUAAUACGUAGGUGGCAAGCGUUGUCCGGAUUUAUUGGGCGUAAAGCGAGCGCAGGCGGAAGAAUAAGUCUGAUGUGAAAGCCCUCGGCUUAACCGAGGAACUGCAUCGGAAACUG